RNAcentral lists this ribosomal RNA (497 nucleotides) under uncultured bacterium. RNAcentral describes it as "partial 16S ribosomal RNA". It matches the Rfam family "Bacterial small subunit ribosomal RNA", at positions 28 to 507 of the family's 1533-position model. The record is from RNAcentral.
GAUGAACGCUGGCGGCGUGCCUAAUACAUGCAAGUCGAGCGAACGGACGAGAAGCUUGCUUCUCUGACGUUAGCGGCGGACGGGUGAGUAACACGUGGAUAACCUACCUAUAAGACUGGGAUAACUUCGGGAAACCGGAGCUAAUACCGGAUAAUAUUUUGAACCGCAUGGUUCAAAAGUGAAAGACGGUCUUGCUGUCACUUAUAGAUGGAUCCGCGCUGCAUUAGCUAGUUGGUAAGGUAACGGCUUACAAAGGCAACGAUGCAUAGCCGACCUGAGAGGGUGAUCGGCCACACUGGAACUGAGACACGGUCCAGACUCCUACGGGAGGCAGCAGUAGGGAAUCUUCCGCAAUGGGCGAAAGCCUGACGGAGCAACGCCGCGUGAGUGAUGAAGGUCUUCGGAUCGUAAAACUCUGUUAUUAGGGAAGAACAUAUGUGUAAGUAACUGUGCACAUCUUGACGGUACCUAAUCAGAAAGCCACGGCUAACUACGUG